RNAcentral lists this ribosomal RNA (110 nucleotides) under Nannospalax galili (Upper Galilee mountains blind mole rat). Lineage: Eukaryota; Metazoa; Chordata; Mammalia; Rodentia; Spalacidae. The record is from RNAcentral.
ACAGACAGCCAUUCCACCCUUGAACGUGCCUGAUCACAUGUGCUCUUGGAAGCUAAGCAGAGCCUGGUUAGUAUUCAGAUGGUGGAAUUCAUACUCAAAACAUGUUUGCU